UUCUAGAGCUAAUACAUGCGAAAAAACCCGACUUCUCGGAAGGGUUGUAUUUAUUAGAUAAAGAACCAAUAUUUUUGGUGACUCAUAAUAACUUUACGGAUCACACUAUGUGACAUAUCAUUCAAGUUUCUGACCUAUCAGCUUUAGACGGUAGGGUAUUGGCCUACCGUGGCUAUGACGGGUAACGGGGAAUUAGGGUUCGAUUCCGGAGAGGGAGCCUGAGAAACGGCUACCACAUCUAAGGAAGGCAGCAGGCGCGCAAAUUACCCAAUCCUAAUACAGGGAGGUAGUGACAAGAAAUAACAAUACAGAGCCUUACGGUUUUGUAAUUGGAAUGAGUUAAGUAUAAACCCCUUAACAAGUAUCAAUUGGAGGGCAAGUCUGGUGCCAGCAGCCGCGGUAAUUCCAGCUCCAAUAGCGUAUAUUAAAGUUGUUGCAGUUAAAAAGCUCGUAGUUAAUUUUCUGUUAAUUUUUAUAUACAAUGCUACGGUAUUUAUAUAAUAUUAACAUAAUUCAUAUUACUUUUUUAGUAUAU
This 535-nucleotide ribosomal RNA is filed under the name Cryptosporidium ryanae. RNAcentral describes it as "SSU rRNA". It matches the Rfam family "Eukaryotic small subunit ribosomal RNA", at positions 156 to 714 of the family's 1831-position model. Lineage: Eukaryota; Apicomplexa; Conoidasida; Eucoccidiorida; Cryptosporidiidae. The record is from RNAcentral.